AUUGAGAUAAGUUUUUCUUUUAUAACCUUCAUCUUAUCCUCCAAGUGUGCAUACUCCUGACUCCACAUACUAAGUUCAGCACGAAGCAUUUGAUUUUCAAUUGCAUGCUCAGAUUGUGAAGUGUCGGAAGCAUAGGCUUGAGUGGGGGAAGAGACUCCUUGGCGUAAGUUAGCAGCCAAGUCUGUCGUACCAUACACCCGAUCUCUACUCUUUCCUCCAGCAGCUUCCUUCCAAGUUUGAAGCUUAGUUGGAGGAUCAAGUUGGUGGACAUCAGUGUUAGAGUCUUGAGAACUAUUUUCUUGAAGGGUCUUCA
This 313-nucleotide long non-coding RNA is filed under the name Phaseolus vulgaris (common bean). Its description in RNAcentral is "long non-coding RNA (PVUL_LNC002060)". Lineage: Eukaryota; Viridiplantae; Streptophyta; Magnoliopsida; Fabales; Fabaceae. The record is from RNAcentral.